This is an RNA transcript of Ixodes scapularis (black-legged tick), 621 nucleotides long. RefSeq lists it as uncharacterized. The record is from RefSeq and is a predicted model, not a curated record. The transcript has 8 exons. Lineage: Eukaryota; Metazoa; Arthropoda; Arachnida; Ixodida; Ixodidae.
AUGUUCCCAACUGCACAGGUGUGUUCGGCACACUUCGUAGGCGGCACGAAGACGGACGAAAAUAGCGUCUCGCAGUUAGACCUGGGGUAUGCGAGAAAGAGUACGCAUACCGUGCAGUCCACCGACGACACAGAUUUGUGUGCCGUGUCGUGGCAGCCUGCGUCUGAGCAUGUGACCAUACAGUCCACUGACGACACUGACUUGGGUGCCACGUCGUGGCAGCCUGCGUCUGAGCAUGUGACGACGCAGCCCACUGACGACACUGACUUGGGUGCCACGUCGUGGCAGCCUGCGUCUGAGCAUGUGACCACGCAGCCCACUGAAGACACAGAUUUGGGUGCCAUGUCGUGGCAGCCUGCGUCUGAGCACAUGAGCACAAAUGUGGCACUCAUGGGGCACAAUUACUCUUUGGCACAACGACCUCCUUCUCCUAAGCACACAACUAUGUUUUCCAUGCUGGCUGCUGAUGACACGGAGUUAGGCGCCACGCCGUGGCUGCCCAUGUCCGAGCACGUGACCACACACUCCACGCAGUCCACAGAUGACACAGACUUGGGUGCCACAACGUGGCUGCCUGCGUCUGAGCAUGUGGUAAGUUCGUUGAGAAUGGUGUUGCUUUGA